RNAcentral lists this ribosomal RNA (301 nucleotides) under uncultured bacterium. RNAcentral describes it as "partial 16S ribosomal RNA". It matches the Rfam family "Bacterial small subunit ribosomal RNA", at positions 509 to 808 of the family's 1533-position model. The record is from RNAcentral.
CAGUCGCCGCGGGAAUACGAAGGGUGCAAGCGUUACUCGGAAUUACUGGGCGUAAAGCGUGUGUAGGUGGUUGUCUAAGUCUGCCGUGAAAGCCCUGGCUCAACCUGGGAAUUGCGAUGGAUACUGGGCGACUAGAGUGCGGUAGAGGAUAGUGGAAUUUCCGGUGUAGCAGUGAAAUGCGUAGAGAUCGGAAGGAACAUCUGUGGCGAAGGCGACUAUCUGGGCCAACACUGACACUGAGACACGAAAGCGUGGGGAGCAAACAGGAUUAGAUACCCCUGUAGUCCCUGUCUCUUAUACA